RNAcentral lists this ribosomal RNA (265 nucleotides) under uncultured archaeon. Its description in RNAcentral is "partial 16S ribosomal RNA". It matches the Rfam family "Archaeal small subunit ribosomal RNA", at positions 714 to 982 of the family's 1478-position model. The record is from RNAcentral.
AGACGUCUACAUUAGAUACCCCCGUAGUCCCAGCCGUAAACUAUGCGCGUUAGGUGUAUCGGUGACCACGAGUCACCGAGGUGCCGAAGGGAAACCGUGAAACGUGCCGCCUGGGAAGUACGGUCGCAAGGCUGAAACUUAAAGGAAUUGGCGGGGGAGCACAACAACGGGUGGAGCCUGCGGUUUAAUUGGACUCAACGCCGGACAACUCACCGGGAACGACUGCAAUAUGUAGGCCAGGCUGAAGACCUUGCCUGAAUCGCUG